CAGCCGCCACGGGAAUACGGAGGGAGCUAGCGUUGUUCGGAAUUACUGGGCGUAAAGCGCGCGUAGGCGGUUACUCAAGUCAGAGGUGAAAGCCCGGGGCUCAACCCCGGAACUGCCUCUGAAACUAGGUGACUAGAAUCUUGGAGAGGUCAGUGGAAUUCCGAGUGUAGAGGUGAAAUUCGUAGAUAUUCGGAAGAACACCAGUGGCGAAGGCGACUGACUGGACAAGUAUUGACGCUGAGGUGCGAAAGCGUGGGGAGCAAACAGGAUUAGAUACCCGCGUAGUCCCUGUCUCUUAUAC
RNAcentral lists this ribosomal RNA (301 nucleotides) under uncultured bacterium. RNAcentral's name for it is "partial 16S ribosomal RNA". It matches the Rfam family "Bacterial small subunit ribosomal RNA", at positions 509 to 807 of the family's 1533-position model. The record is from RNAcentral.